This 76-nucleotide small RNA is filed under the name Flavobacterium sp. 245. RNAcentral describes it as "Flavo-1 RNA". Lineage: Bacteria; Pseudomonadati; Bacteroidota; Flavobacteriia; Flavobacteriales; Flavobacteriaceae. The record is from RNAcentral.
UCCAAAGCUUUAUAGUUUUGGAUUUUUUUUGCGAGUUUUUUAACCGCAAAGAACGCAAAGUAAAAAAAAACAGUCC